This 396-nucleotide ribosomal RNA is filed under the name uncultured bacterium. RNAcentral describes it as "bacterial SSU rRNA". It matches the Rfam family "Bacterial small subunit ribosomal RNA", at positions 30 to 416 of the family's 1533-position model. The record is from RNAcentral.
AUUGAACGCUGGCGGCAGGCCUAACACAUGCGGGAAGUCGAACGGUAACAGGAAGAAGCUUGCUUCUUUGCUGACGAGUGGCGGACGGGUGAGUAAUGUCUGGGAAACUGCCUGAUGGAGGGGGAUAACUACUGGAAACGGUAGCUAAUACCGCAUAACGUCGCAAGACCAAAAAAGGGGGACCUUCGGGCCUCUUGCCAUCGGAUGUGCCCAGAUGGGAUUAGCUAGUAGGUGGGGUAACGGCUCACCUAGGCGACGAUCCCUAGCUGGUCUGAGAGGAUGACCAGCCACACUGGAACUGAGACACGGUCCAGACUCCUACGGGAGGCAGCAGUGGGGAAUAUUGCACAAUGGGCGCAAGCCUGAUGCAGCCAUGCCGCGUGUAUGAAGAAGGCC